Molecule: unclassified non-coding RNA, 209 nt
Filed under: Hevea brasiliensis (rubber tree)
Lineage: Eukaryota; Viridiplantae; Streptophyta; Magnoliopsida; Malpighiales; Euphorbiaceae
Source: RNAcentral
AUUCGAGAUCGACCUGGAAGGUACGUUUAAUGUAAUAGUUAUCUUCAAAUUUCCGAUCCCUUAAUUUGCUUGUUGAAAAUAGUGCUGAGAUAGAUAUCCUUUAUCUGUUCCCAGUGAUCUAUAUCUACUUAACUUUGUCAAUGUUGCCUAUGUUUCGCUUUAGUCAACCUUAACUGAUUAUGUACAGGUACUUAUCAUGGAUAAGGUUA